GAUGAACGCUGGCGGCGUGCCUAAUACAUGCAAGUCGAGCGAACGGACGAGAAGCUUGCUUCUCUGAUGUUAGCGGCGGACAGGUGAGUAACACGUGGAUAACCUACCUAUAAGACUGGGAUAACUUCGGGAAACCGGAGCUAAUACCGGAUAAUAUUUUGAACCGCAUGGUUCAAAAGUGAAAGACGGUCUUGCUGUCACUUAUAGAUGGAUCCGCGCUGCAUUAGCUAGUUGGUAAGGUAACGGCUUACCAAGGCAACGAUGCAUAGCCGACCUGAGAGGGUGAUCGGCCACACUGGAACUGAGACACGGUCCAGACUCCUACGGGAGGCAGCAGUAGGGAAUCUUCCGCAAUGGGCGAAAGCCUGACGGAGCAACGCCGCGUGAGUGAUGAAGGUCUUCGGAUCGUAAAACUCUGGUAUUAGGGAAGAACAUAUGUGUAAGUAACUGUGCACAUCUUGACGGUACCUAAUCAGAAAGCCACGGCUAACUACGUG
This 497-nucleotide ribosomal RNA is filed under the name uncultured bacterium. RNAcentral describes it as "partial 16S ribosomal RNA". It matches the Rfam family "Bacterial small subunit ribosomal RNA", at positions 28 to 507 of the family's 1533-position model. The record is from RNAcentral.